This 484-nucleotide ribosomal RNA is filed under the name uncultured bacterium. Its description in RNAcentral is "partial 16S ribosomal RNA". It matches the Rfam family "Bacterial small subunit ribosomal RNA", at positions 28 to 523 of the family's 1533-position model. The record is from RNAcentral.
GACGAACGCUGGCGGCGUGCUUAACACAUGCAAGUCGAACGAUGAAGCCGGAGCUUGCUCUGGUGAAUUAGUGGCGAACGGGUGAGUAACACGUGAGUAACCUGCCCUUGACUCUGGAAUAACUGCGGGAAACUGUAGCUAAUACCGGAUACGACCCUCGGAGGCAUCUCCUGGGGCUGGAAAGAAUUUCGGUAAAGGAUGGACUCGCGGCCUAUCAGCUAGUUGGGGAGGUAAAGGCUGACCAAGGCGGCGACGGGUGGCCGGCCUGAGAGGGUGACCGGCCACACUGGGACUGAGACACGGCCCAGACUCCUACGGGAGGCAGCAGUGGGGAAUAUUGCACAAUGGGCGCAAGCCUGAUGCAGCAACGCCGCGUGAGGGAUGACGGCCUUCGGGUUGUAAACCUCUUUUAGCAGGGAAGAAGCGAAAGUGACGGUACCUGCAGAAAAAGCACCGGCUAACUACGUGCCAGCCGCCGCAGUAA